AUUGAACGCUGGCGGCAUGCUUUACACAUGCAAGUCGAACGGCAGCGCGGGCUUCGGCCUGGCGGCGAGUGGCGAACGGGUGAGUAAUGCAUCGGAACGUGCCCAGUAGUGGGGGAUAGCCCGGCGAAAGCCGGAUUAAUACCGCAUACGACCUGAGGGUGAAAGCGGGGGACCGAAAGGCCUCGCGCUAUUGGAGCGGCCGAUGUCGGAUUAGCUAGUUGGUGGGGUAAAGGCUUACCAAGGCGACGAUCCGUAGCUGGUCUGAGAGGACGACCAGCCACACUGGGCCUGAGCCACGGCCCAGACCCCUACGGGAGGCAGCGGUGGGAAAUUUUGAACAAUGGGGCAACCCUGAUCCAGCCAUGCCGCGUGCGGGAAGAAGGCCUUCGGGUUGUAAACCGCUUUUGUUCGGGAAGAAAUCCUCUGGGCUAAUACCCCGGGGGGAUGACGGUACCGGAAGAAUAAGCACCGGCUAACUACGUG
RNAcentral lists this ribosomal RNA (483 nucleotides) under uncultured bacterium. RNAcentral's name for it is "partial 16S ribosomal RNA". It matches the Rfam family "Bacterial small subunit ribosomal RNA", at positions 28 to 507 of the family's 1533-position model. The record is from RNAcentral.